RNAcentral lists this ribosomal RNA (496 nucleotides) under uncultured bacterium. Its description in RNAcentral is "partial 16S ribosomal RNA". It matches the Rfam family "Bacterial small subunit ribosomal RNA", at positions 28 to 506 of the family's 1533-position model. The record is from RNAcentral.
GAUGAACGCUGGCGGCGUGCCUAAUACAUGCAAGUAGAACGCUGAAGCUUGGUGCUUGCACCGAGCGGAUGAGUUGCGAACGGGUGAGUAACGCGUAGGUAACCUGCCUCUUAGCGGGGGAUAACUAUUGGAAACGAUAGCUAAUACCGCAUAAAAGUCGACAUCGCAUGAUGUUGACUUGAAAGGUGCAAUUGCAUCACUAAGAGAUGGACCUGCGUUGUAUUAGCUAGUUGGUGAGGUAACGGCUCACCAAGGCGACGAUACAUAGCCGACCUGAGAGGGUGGUCGGCCACACGGGGACUGAGACACGGCCCAGACUCCUACGGGAGGCAGCAGUAGGGAAUCUUCGGAAAUGGGGGCAACCCUGACCGAGGAACGCCGCGUGAGUGGAGUAGGGUUUCGGAUCGUAAAGCUCUGUUGUAAGAGAAGAACGAGUGUGAGAGUGGAAAGUUCAACCUGUGGCGGUAACUUACCAGAAAGGGACGGCUAACUACGU